GGAAGAGUGAUUGACCGCGGAGAGGAAGCGCGGCGCAUAAAUCACGAGCCGAGGAACACGAAUCGCAUAGAAGGCGCUAUCGAACAGGGCGAGCGGGACACAAACCGCAAGCUCUUGUGGUCAAGGCGAGGUGGCGUAGAUGCGGCGGUUGUGGCGGUGCCGCCC
Non-coding RNA from Janthinobacterium sp. CG23_2, 165 nucleotides. Lineage: Bacteria; Pseudomonadati; Pseudomonadota; Betaproteobacteria; Burkholderiales; Oxalobacteraceae. The record is from Rfam.